UGGGGAAUAUUGCACAAUGGGCGCAAGCCUGAUGCAGCCAUGCCGCGUGUAUGAAGAAGGCCUUCGGGUUGUAAAGUACUUUCAGCGAGGAGGAAGGCGAUGCGGUUAAUAACCGUGUCGAUUGACGUUACUCGCAGAAGAAGCACCGGCUAACUCCGUGCCAGCAGCCGCGGUAAUACGGAGGGUGCAAGCGUUAAUCGGAAUUAAUGGGCGUAAAGCGCACGCAGGCGGUCUGUCAAGUCGGAUGUGAAAUCCCCGGGCUCAACCUGGGAACUGCAUUCGAAACUGGCAGGCUUGAGUCUUGUAGAGGGGGGUAGAAUUCCAGGUGUAGCGGUGAAAUGCGUAGAGAUCUGGAGGAAUACCGGUGGCGAAGGCGGCCCCCUGGACAAAGACUGACGCUCAGGUGCGAAAGCGUGGGGAGCAAACA
Molecule: ribosomal RNA, 427 nt
Filed under: uncultured bacterium
Lineage: Bacteria
Description: partial 16S ribosomal RNA
Rfam family: Bacterial small subunit ribosomal RNA
Source: RNAcentral